RNAcentral lists this long non-coding RNA (1352 nucleotides) under Vigna radiata. Its description in RNAcentral is "long non-coding RNA (VRAD_LNC009465)". Lineage: Eukaryota; Viridiplantae; Streptophyta; Magnoliopsida; Fabales; Fabaceae. The record is from RNAcentral.
GUUGGAAUUGGGAAAAAGGGACAAAAAAUUAAUCACUGCAAGAAGUUGUACGGAAAUAGGGGGGCCCUAGAGGGGUUGCUGCAAAGAGAAAAUUUAGUGAGAGAUUCUGCGCAGAAGAGAAAAUAUGCAUAAGGUGGCAGAGAGGGCCAUGAGACGCAAGAGCCACAGAAAAAGACACAACACGUACAGGACAAGAUGCUUAAAUAUCCACAGACAUUUCUCCAUCAUUACCACCCUAUUUCCAACCUCUACAGUAACUCUGAUGUGAUGCAAUCUCCAAAUCCAACACCAUAACUAUAUAUUUAAACAAUUAAAUAUAUGUCACAGAGAGAGAGAGAAAAGAAAGAAAAGAAUUAAAAGUGUAGAAGAAGAAGAAGAAGAAGAAGAAGGUGGUGUGGUGGUGAUAUUAAAAGAGUUUUAUGUUAGUAAGAAAGGAAGCUACAUGGUAUUUAUUUAUGUUGUGCUAGGUAGAUGGUAGUGUUGCUGGUGCUACAGAUGCAUGUGGGUUUUAACUAGUUUUUAGGGCUUUGUGUAGGGAAGAAUAAGAUAAGAGCUGAGUUCAGAGAUUGCAUGGCUUGGAUGCAUGCUGGCGUGACAGUUUGAGCAUUUUUCCAUCUAUAGGUACUUCUCUGUGUGCCUUUAAUUUCAAGCCUGUGAGUUGUUAUGGAUCGAAUAGACAGCUCAUUCUCUAUACACUGCAAACUACAACCCUACGAUGCAUUUUCCACUACCCUUCAAAUUACUUUGACUUCCUCUUCCACACCUUUUGCAUCUCAAUCUCAAUCUCAAUCUAACCAACCCCAUUUCAAAUCCAAUCAAACCUUCCUUCUAGUCAACUCCAUUUUACAUUACACAAUUUUUCUAACGUUAUAAUUAUGUUCAACUACCUAAAUUAAGACAUUAAUCAUUUUCAUAAUGAAUUCUGAAAUGGUGGUAUGGUAUGGAGGCAUAGAGGUAUAGGGACAUCCCCAUUCCUCCAAAUGGCCACCUGGGGUGCCCUGUAGCAACCAGCUGAAGUUUAACCACUGUGAGAAACUUAGCCUCAAUUUCCAAUGCUUUGGCACGUAAUGCACAUAGAUACAUAACAUACAUGGAUACACACACCCUUUCUUUCUUUCUUUCUUUCUUUCUUUCUUCACUUCAGUGUCUUCCAACUCGAAACUUUCGCACUUUCUCAUCAUCUUUUUCCUUUUUCUUUAAGGGAAUAACUGUGGAAAUGUGGUAAAGCAAAAACGAUGGGACCAAAGUCUUUUUUUUUUAUUAUUUAUUUUCUCUCACUGCCUUUACCUUCAUUCAUUUCACACCCUCACUCUUCUGUCUCAACAAUUCCAACAUACCACCUUCUGUCCCCC